This 497-nucleotide ribosomal RNA is filed under the name uncultured bacterium. Its description in RNAcentral is "partial 16S ribosomal RNA". It matches the Rfam family "Bacterial small subunit ribosomal RNA", at positions 28 to 507 of the family's 1533-position model. The record is from RNAcentral.
GACGAACGCUGGCGGCGUGCCUAAUACAUGCAAGUUGAGCGAUGAAGCUUGGUGCUUGCCCCAAUUUGAAGAGCAGCGAACGGGUGAGUAACGCGUGGGGAAUCUGCCUUUGAGCGGGGGACAACAUUUGGAAACGAAUGCUAAUACCGCAUAAUAACUUUAAACAUAAGUUUUAAGUUUGAAAGAUGCAAUUGCAUCACUCAAAGAUGAUCCCGCGUUGUAUUAGCUAGUUGGUGAGGUAAAGGCUCACCAAGGCGAUGAUACAUAGCCGACCUGAGAGGGUGAUCGGCCACAUUGGGACUGAGACACGGCCCAAACUCCUACGGGAGGCAGCAGUAGGGAAUCUUCGGCAAUGGACGAAAGUCUGACCGAGCAACGCCGCGGGAGGGAAGAAGGGCUUCGGAUCGUAAAACUCUGUUGGUAGAGAAGAACGUUGGUGAGAGUGGAAAGCUCAUCAAGUGACGGUAACUACACAGAAAGGGACGGCUAACUACGUG